AGUGAACGCUGGCGGUAGGCCUAACACAUGCAAGUCGAACGGCAGCACAGUAAGAGCUUGCUCUUACGGGUGGCGAGUGGCGGACGGGUGAGGAAUACAUCGGAAUCUACUUUUUCGUGGGGGGUAACGUAGGGAAACUUACGCUAAUAACGCAUACGACCUACGGGUGAAAGCAGGGGAUCUUCGGACCUUGCGCGAUUGAAUGAGCCGAUGUCGGAUUAGCUAGUUGGCGGGGUAAAGGCCCACCAAGGCGUCGAUCCUUAGCUGGUCUGAGGGGGUGUAGAGGCACACUGGAACUGAGAGACGGUCCUGACUCCUAGGGGAGGCAGCGGUGGGGAAUAGUGGACAAUGGGCGCAAGCCUGAUCCAGCCAUGCCGCGUGGAUGCAGAAGGCCUUCGGGUUGUAUAGCCCUUUUGUUGUUAAAGAAAAGCAGCAGGUUAAUACCCCGCUGUUCUGACGGUACCCGAAGAAUAAGCACCGGCUAACUUCGUG
Molecule: ribosomal RNA, 492 nt
Filed under: uncultured bacterium
Lineage: Bacteria
Description: partial 16S ribosomal RNA
Rfam family: Bacterial small subunit ribosomal RNA
Source: RNAcentral